UACGAGAGGCCCAAACGUUAUUCGGAAUUACUGGGCUUAAAGAGUUCGUAGGCGGCGCAGAAAGUAGGGUGUGAAAGCCCUCGGCUUAACCGAGGAAUUGCGCCCUAAACUACUGUGCUUGAGGAACCUAGAGGUGAGCAGAACAGAUGGUGGAGCGGUGAAAUGCGUUGAUAUCAUCUGGAAUACCGGAGGCGAAGGCGGCUCACUGGGGGUUUUCUGACGCUGAGGCGCGAAAGCCAGGGGAGCAAACGGG
RNAcentral lists this ribosomal RNA (253 nucleotides) under uncultured bacterium. RNAcentral's name for it is "partial 16S ribosomal RNA". It matches the Rfam family "Bacterial small subunit ribosomal RNA", at positions 524 to 776 of the family's 1533-position model. The record is from RNAcentral.